This 485-nucleotide ribosomal RNA is filed under the name uncultured bacterium. RNAcentral's name for it is "bacterial SSU rRNA". It matches the Rfam family "Bacterial small subunit ribosomal RNA", at positions 28 to 524 of the family's 1533-position model. The record is from RNAcentral.
GACGAACGCUGGCGGCGUGCUUAACACAUGCAAGUCAAGGGGGCCCGCAAGGGUAACCGGCGAACGGGUGCGUAACACGUGAGCAAUCUGCCUCGAUGUGGGGGAUAGCCGGCCCAACGGCCGGGUAAUACCGCAUACGCUCUCUGGGUGGCAUCACUUGGAGAGGAAACAUUUUUUGGCAUUGAGAGGAGCUCGCGGCCUAUCAGCUAGUUGGUGGGGUAAUGGCCUACCAAGGCUUUGACGGGUAGCUGGUCUGAGAGGAUGGCCAGCCACAUUGGGACUGAGAUACGGCCCAGACUCCUACGGGAGGCAGCAGUGGGGAAUAUUGCGCAAUGGCCGAAAGGCUGACGCAGCGACGCCGCUGGGGGAUGAAGCAUUCGGUGUGUAAACCCCUGUUGCCCGGGACGAACAACUGGUUUUGACCACGGUCUGACGGUACCGGGUGAGGAAGCACCGGCUAACUCCGUGCCAGCAGCCGCGGUAAU